Molecule: long non-coding RNA, 605 nt
Organism: Piliocolobus tephrosceles (Ugandan red Colobus)
Lineage: Eukaryota; Metazoa; Chordata; Mammalia; Primates; Cercopithecidae
Exons: 3
Source: RefSeq, a predicted model, not a curated record
GCAAGGUUGUGGCCCACAGCAGACGCUCCCCACGAGGUAGAGCCCGGUUUCCACACCUGGAGCAGCUGCACCUGGAAGUGGGGCUCAUCUCCAGACCUGAGCAGCUGCCUGCCCCAGGACAGAAGCCACCGCCCACAGCCAGUUUCCAGGAACCUGUGAUGAAAUUGAGGACUUGCUGUAUACCGUUAUCUGUUUGAAAGAAAUGUUGCAGAAGCAGAGAAUUGGACUGAGCUGUCACAUUGCCUAAAAGCUGGAGAACUCCGCCCUCUAGUGUCCGUCGCCACAGCAAGUGGGGCACUACGUUCCAUUUCCAAAGUGGAAAGACGGUGCCUUUAAAGAUGUAACCCCAACGGAGGUCAAGGUCUGAAAGGGGCAAAUUCUUUCCACGACUCCAGCCUGAUAAAGACACCCACAACCCUCUCGCCAUUUGCAAGAUUUGAUCCAAAACCAGCUUCUAACAGCUGCCAAACUAAAAUGCCUUAGAGACAUGGGGUAGCCAAGUUACAAACGCACGCUCCAUUUGAUGCAGCCAUUCCACCUCUAGAACUGUUCCCUACAAAUACAGAGGCGCACAUGUGCAGUCACCUGUGCACAAGACUACUGUU